This 1304-nucleotide long non-coding RNA is filed under the name Gallus gallus (chicken). The record is from RNAcentral. Lineage: Eukaryota; Metazoa; Chordata; Aves; Galliformes; Phasianidae.
GGCCGAGCCCCGAGCGCGGGCGCUGUGAGAGAGGCGGGAAAAGGGCUGAGGUGGGAGGACUUCCUCCUGUUCGCGGCGGGCGCUUUGUCUUACGUUCUCUCACCCCAGUGAGACUGAGCUGUGCGGGCACUUGCUGCUUGUGAAGGGUGGUUUGUUUGUUUUUCAUUUUUAAGGGUAAUGCUGAGUGAUACUUGCUUCUUCCGUUUCAGUGGAUGAGAUUUUGUUCACUGAUGUAGUACAGGGCGGUAUUACAUAUAGCUUUAUGGCCACUCGUAGAAUUCCAGUGAAGUUGCUGUUGUAUACAAUGUAAUACUUGCACAUGCUAUAUUGGUACUUGCAGUGUGUGUGUGCGUGCAGGGAUGAAGAGGCAUUUUUACUUGAAGAAGUGGUAGUAAGAGGAUGAGCGAUGAAAAGCAGGGCUCUCCCUGCAUGAGUCCCCAGGCCUGCCUCACACAGCUGUGGGGCUGACUUGCUCUGUGGGAAAGGCAAACCGGUCUGUGAAGUGGGCACCGUGUCCCUGGAAACUGCUGUGGUGUGCAAACUGACCACUUCAAGGGCUGGAAAAGCUCUUCCAGGUUAAUGGUCCCAGUGACUCUGCUCUGCCUCUUGCAUAAAGGCAAGGCCUUUCUGCUACAGCUUUAGCUGUGGCAUUUUAGUAUAUCCAAGAGAAUCAUCUACGUUUGUGCCAACGUAACAUCGUGUUCCACAUGACUGGAAAUAACGUAUUUGGUACUGGUCUAGAGAAGAGGAGUAACAAGAAGACUUACACCUACAUAUUCUUCUCUCAACUACAUCAGUUGGACUAAUGAGAGAGCAACACCUUCACCAACACUAACUCUCAAAGAAAAGAUUGGGUGUGGUGAUGAGACUACUGACCUGGGACUCAUCGGACAAACCCAGCUAUGCAUCAGAUACGCUUCGUAGUCAUGGUAAAACUAAAUUUCUGGAACGUGCUAAAAAGGCCAACAGCAUAGAUGCGACCUAAGGAUUUGCAUUAGUUACAAGUCCUUUCUUCCUUCCUUGUUUUUCCCCUUUUACGGCUCCUUCUGAAGAAAAAGAAAAUGACCAAAAAAGGGGAAACGGAAUAACGUGUUAUUUCUGCUACAAACGGUUUCUUAAAAACAAAGCCCUUUUAAAGAUUUUCGCACGCUUGCUUGUACUUUCCUCCGGGAGAAGGGCCGAGAAGCCCGGUAGCACUGGGGCAGGCUGGCGCUGAACUCAGGGCACGGAGCGUGCACGCUCUGCCAGGUGUGAGCACGGCAGCGCCGUGCACGCUGGGCUUCCGAAUCAGUGCUGCGUGCUCG